Molecule: non-coding RNA, 75 nt
Organism: Ameiurus melas (black bullhead)
Lineage: Eukaryota; Metazoa; Chordata; Actinopteri; Siluriformes; Ictaluridae
Source: the annotation of a GenBank genome assembly
GGCAGUGGUGGCCUAGCGGUUAAGUCUCUGGGUUACUGAUUCAGAAGGUCUGGGGUUCAAGUCCCAGCACUGCCA